Molecule: ribosomal RNA, 253 nt
Filed under: uncultured bacterium
Lineage: Bacteria
Description: partial 16S ribosomal RNA
Rfam family: Bacterial small subunit ribosomal RNA
Source: RNAcentral
UACGUAGGGUGCGAGCGUUGUCCGGAAUUAUUGGGCGUAAAGAGCUCGUAGGCGGUUUGUUGCGUCUAUCGUGAAAACCUGGGGCUCAACCCCGGGCCUGCGGUGGAUACGGGCAGACUUGAGUUCGGUAGGGGAGACUGGAAUUCCUGGUGUAGCGGUGAAAUGCGCAGAUAUCAGGAGGAACACCGGUGGCGAAGGCGGGUCUCUGGGCCGAUACUGACGCUGAGGAGCGAAAGCGUGGGGAGCGAACAGG